GUAAUACUUUGGUAAUACCUAUGAUAAGAUUGGAAUGAUAUAGAUAAGAUUAGCAUGGCCCCUGCACAAGGACGACACACAAAUUUGUGAAGCAUUCCAUAUUCUU
Vicugna pacos (alpaca) is the source of this 106-nucleotide small nuclear RNA. Lineage: Eukaryota; Metazoa; Chordata; Mammalia; Artiodactyla; Camelidae. The record is from RefSeq and is a predicted model, not a curated record.